Molecule: ribosomal RNA, 429 nt
Filed under: Bacillota bacterium
Lineage: Bacteria; Bacillati; Bacillota
Description: Firmicutes bacterium partial 16S ribosomal RNA
Rfam family: Bacterial small subunit ribosomal RNA
Source: RNAcentral
UAGGGAAUCUUCGGCAAUGGACGGAAGUCUGACCGAGCAACGCCGCGUGAGUGAAGAAGGUUUUCGGAUUGUAAAGCUCUGUUGUUAGAGAAGAACGUUGGUAGGAGUGGAAAAUCUACCAAGUGACGGUAACUAACCAGAAAGGGACGGCUAACUACGUGCCAGCAGCCGCGGUAAUACGUAGGUCCCGAGCGUUGUCCGGAUUUAUUGGGCGUAAAGCGAGCGCAGGCGGUUCUUUAAGUCUGAAGUUAAAGGCAGUGGCUUAACCAUUGUACGCUUUGGAAACUGGAGGACUUGAGUGCAGAAGGGGAGAGUAGAAUUCCAUGUGUAGCGGUGAAAUGCGUAGAUAUAUGGAGGAACACCGGUGGCGAAAGCGGCUCUCUGGUCUGUAACUGACGAUGAGGCUCGAAAGCGUGGGGAGCAAACAGG